This 325-nucleotide long non-coding RNA is filed under the name Populus tremula. RNAcentral describes it as "long non-coding RNA (PTRE_LNC001905)". Lineage: Eukaryota; Viridiplantae; Streptophyta; Magnoliopsida; Malpighiales; Salicaceae. The record is from RNAcentral.
ACUUAAUUUCAUGACCUUUCGAUCCCCUCUUCGGAUUACACUUAUAGUUUUCCAUUAGCUUACCGAUUUCACUGUCUCCUUCCUUCCUCCUUCACCUCUCGCCUUGCCCCUAUAAAAAUCGCCAGAACCUCCUAUCCCUACCCAUCAAAAACUUUAAAAUCUCUAGCUUUCCCUCGUUUUCUCGAGAAACAAACAGAAACCCGAAACCCAACAGCAAGAAAAUCCACCGGAGGGAAAGCCCUAAGGAACAACUAGCCACGAAGGCAGCCAGGAAAACAUCUCUUUGGACACGAGCUAAACUUCUAAAACUGCGGUUGUUGAGAGC